UUUUGUGGGUGGGGAAUUGCAAUCUGUCUCCACAUGCUUAAUUAAACUAAUCAAGCCUUCCCCCUCCCCUUCUGCUUCCCUGCCAAUAAAAGCAGUGGCUCCACAAACCCCAGCAGUGACGUCCAGCAGAAGCUCUGAUCCAUCCCAGCCUGCCAAGGGAUGCCUUGAGAUGUUCUGCAGUGCCUGGUUGUCACCAUGGGAUGCUCUCCAGCAUGAGGAAGCAAGCCGAGGCUGCCGAAGGACUUGUCACGGCGUGGAAGCUGAGGAGCAGCAAUCCACCAAUUCAUGGUGU
Neopelma chrysocephalum (saffron-crested tyrant-manakin) is the source of this 292-nucleotide long non-coding RNA. RefSeq lists it as uncharacterized. The transcript is spliced from 2 exons. Lineage: Eukaryota; Metazoa; Chordata; Aves; Passeriformes; Pipridae. The record is from RefSeq and is a predicted model, not a curated record.